Non-coding RNA from Acanthosepion pharaonis, 106 nucleotides. Lineage: Eukaryota; Metazoa; Mollusca; Cephalopoda; Sepiida; Sepiidae. The record is from the annotation of a GenBank genome assembly.
AUAUGACGUUGAAGCACCGAACCUCGUACGAUCACAGAAGUUAAGCAACGUCGAGUUUGGUCAGUACUUAAAUGGGUGGCCGCAUGGGAAUACCAGGUUCUGUAAG